GACGGGGCCCGGCACAAGCGUGGAGUAUGUGGUUUAAUUCGAUGCAACGCGAAGAACCUUACCUGGUCUUGACAUCCCGGAGACCCUUAGGAAACUAGGGGUGCUUCCAUCUGGAAGAAUCUGGAGACAGGUGCUGCAUGGCUGUCGUCAGCUCGUGUCGUGAGAUGUUGGGUUAAGUCCCGCAACGAGCGCAACCCUUGCCUUUAGUUGCCAGCAGUUCGGCUGGGCACUCUAAAGGGACUGCCGGUGUUAAACCGGAGGAAGGUGGGGAUGACGUCAAGUCCUCAUGGCCUUUAUGACCAGGGCUACACACGUACUACAAUGGCCGAUACAAAGGGCAGCGACACUGCGAGGUGAAGCCAAUCCCGUAAAAUCGGUCUCAGUCCGGAUUGGAGUCUGCAACUCGACUCCAUGAAGUUGGAAUCGCUAGUAAUCGUGGAUCAGCAUGCCACGGUGAAUACGUUCCCGGGCCUU
RNAcentral lists this ribosomal RNA (474 nucleotides) under uncultured Desulfobulbus sp. Its description in RNAcentral is "bacterial SSU rRNA". It matches the Rfam family "Bacterial small subunit ribosomal RNA", at positions 916 to 1381 of the family's 1533-position model. The record is from RNAcentral. Lineage: Bacteria; Pseudomonadati; Thermodesulfobacteriota; Desulfobulbia; Desulfobulbales; Desulfobulbaceae.